UUAAAAGCUGAAUGUUGUCGACUGAGAAAAGAGAGGGAUGAAGCCAAAGCAGUGGCAAGUUCAUCUAAAGAAAGAAUUAUAGAACUUGAAUUAGAGUGCAAAAGUCUUCGAGCAGCAAGAGAGACAGUUUCUGAUGAAAACCCACCAGAGCUCGAAGAAGUGAAAGAGCUUCGACGAUUGAAUCGAAGCUUACAGCUUCAAGUUCUGGACAAAAUAGUUCAAGGAAAUUUGCCACAGAAACAGAAUUGCCAGAGGAUGUUGACUUGGGCAAUAAGGUAGUCCUGAAAAGAGAAAUUUAUAAUGCAGUUAGAGGUGAAAGUAAUAUAAGUAGAUUUACGAAGAGCCUUGGUGUGGCCAUCUGGGGGACGGCUACACUAAAAGAACGGUUCAUCAAAGGACAAGAAUGUCGUAACCCAAGGGGCUGCAAAAGAAAAGUGGAUGGAGAGGCAAGCAUGCCUAUUCAAAAAGCUGCCAAACCACCACUUACACCAGAAAAAUUGGCAGUAAUUGAUGCUCAAAUGAGAGUAUAUAUGGAGGCAAAAUCAAUGAGCCUGAAUGAAAUUCAGGAGAAUCUGAAGAAGAGGAACAGAUUUCUUACUGAAAAAAUUUGUGACUUAAAUAAACCUAAACGUGUUUAAAACCUUUUAUAAAUCUUGUCAAUAAAUUAUUUUG
This is an unclassified non-coding RNA of Parasteatoda tepidariorum (common house spider), 672 nucleotides long. NCBI's taxonomy places the organism in Eukaryota, Metazoa, Arthropoda, Arachnida, Araneae, Theridiidae. The record is from RefSeq and is a predicted model, not a curated record.